RNAcentral lists this ribosomal RNA (451 nucleotides) under uncultured bacterium. RNAcentral describes it as "partial 16S ribosomal RNA". It matches the Rfam family "Bacterial small subunit ribosomal RNA", at positions 354 to 796 of the family's 1533-position model. The record is from RNAcentral.
GUGGGGAAUAUUGGACAAUGGGGGGAACCCUGAUCCAGCCAUGCCGCGUGUGUGAAGAAGGCCUUUUGGUUGUAAAGCACUUUAAGUGGGGAGGAGGCUUACCUGGUUAAUACCUGGGCUAAGUGGACGUUACCCACAGAAUAAGCACCGGCUAACUCUGUGCCAGCAGCCGCGGUAAUACAGAGGGUGCAAGAGUUAAUCGGAUUUACUGGGCGUAAAGCGCGCGUAGGUGGUUAAUUAAGUCAAAUGUGAAAUCCCCGAGCUUAACUUGGGAAUUGCAUUCGAUACUGGUGAGCUAGAGUAUGGGAGAGGAUGGUAGAAUUCCAGGUGUAGCGGUGAAAUGCGUAGAGAUCUGGAGGAAUACCGAUGGCGAAGGCAGCCAUCUGGCCUAAUACUGACACUGAGGUGCGAAAGCAUGGGGAGCAAACAGGAUUAGAAACCCGGGUAGUCC